UGGGGAAUCUUAGACAAUGGGGGAAACCCUGAUCUAGCCAUGCCGCGUGAGUGAUGAAGGCCUUAGGGUUGUAAAGCUCUUUCAGCUGGGAAGAUAAUGACGGUACCAGCAGAAGAAGCCCCGGCUAACUCCGUGCCAGCAGCCGCGGUAAUACGGAGGGGGCUAGCGUUGUUCGGAAUUACUGGGCGUAAAGCGCACGUAGGCGGACUGGAAAGUUGGAGGUGAAAUCCUGGGGCUCAACCCCAGAACUGCCUUCAAAACUAUCAGUCUGGAGUUCGAGAGAGGUGAGUGGAAUUCCGAGUGUAGAGGUGAAAUUCGUAGAUAUUCGGAGGAACACCAAUGGGGAAGGCGGCUCACUGGCUCGAUACGGACGCUGAGGUGCGAAAGCGUGGGGAGCAAACAGG
Molecule: ribosomal RNA, 404 nt
Filed under: bacterium
Lineage: Bacteria
Description: partial 16S ribosomal RNA
Rfam family: Bacterial small subunit ribosomal RNA
Source: RNAcentral